CGGGCGCACCUUUUCUCUCUCUCCUGCCACAAAGUGAACGCUCCGCCGCCUAGAUAACCGCCAACUCCCUACUCCACCCCCGCCCGCACCCCCUCCUCCCACUCUCCCGUUCCCAGGUUGGCUGGGUAGAACACAGUUCUAACAAGGCCAAGUUUUUUUGGAUUUAGACCUCUUUCCAGGUCAAUAUCCAGCCUCUCCAUCCGGUUUCAGCUCUUCCU
Molecule: long non-coding RNA, 218 nt
Filed under: Sarcophilus harrisii (Tasmanian devil)
Lineage: Eukaryota; Metazoa; Chordata; Mammalia; Dasyuromorphia; Dasyuridae
Description: lncRNA (ENSSHAG00000021903.1)
Source: RNAcentral